This 250-nucleotide long non-coding RNA is filed under the name Coffea arabica (coffee). RNAcentral describes it as "long non-coding RNA (CARA_LNC002846)". Lineage: Eukaryota; Viridiplantae; Streptophyta; Magnoliopsida; Gentianales; Rubiaceae. The record is from RNAcentral.
AUUUAAGAAAAUUAAUAAGACAAUUACAAAAUGAAAUUUUAGAAUUAAAAACAAAAGACUUAGAAAUAGAAACAAGAUUAACAUUAACCUUAGUAACAAAACCUUCAACCUCAAAUUCUUCUAAAAACAAUCAAGAGAUAGUAAUAGCAGAUAAACCUAACAAUGAAUAGUAUUUAAAAUUAAUAGAACAAUUAAUAUUUCAAAAAUGGUAUGUCAUGGUAACUAUUACAGUCGAAGAUUUUAAAGAAAC